GACGAACGCUGGCGGCGUGCUUAACACAUGCAAGUCGAACGGAAAGGCCCUGCUUUUGUGGGGUGCUCGAGUGGCGAACGGGUGAGUAACACGUGAGUAACCUGCCCUUGACUUUGGGAUAACUUCAGGAAACUGGGGCUAAUACCGGAUAGGAGCUCCUGCUGCAUGGUGGGGAUUGGAAAGUUUCGGCGGUUGGGGAUGGACUCGCGGCUUAUCAGCUUGUUGGUGGGGUAGUGGCUUACCAAGGCUUUGACGGGUAGUCGGCCUGAGAGGGUGACCGGCCACAUUGGGACUGAGAUACGGCCCAGACUCCUACGGGAGGCAGCAGUGGGGAAUAUUGCACAAUGGGCGGAAGCCUGAUGCAGCAACGCCGCGUGCGGGAUGACGGCCUUCGGGUUGUAAACCGCUUUCGCCUGUGACGAAGCGUGAGUGACGGUAAUGGGUAAAGAAGCACCGGCUAACUACGUG
This 468-nucleotide ribosomal RNA is filed under the name uncultured bacterium. Its description in RNAcentral is "partial 16S ribosomal RNA". It matches the Rfam family "Bacterial small subunit ribosomal RNA", at positions 28 to 507 of the family's 1533-position model. The record is from RNAcentral.